CCUACGGGGGGCAGCAGUGGGGAAUAUUGCACAAUGGGGGAAACCCUGAUGCAGCGACGCCGCGUGAGCGAUGAAGUAUUUCGGUAUGUAAAGCUCUAUCAGCAGGGAAGAAACUGACGGUACCUGACUAAGAAGCACCGGCUAAAUACGUGCCAGCAGCCGCGGUAAUACGUAUGGUGCAAGCGUUAUCCGGAUUUACUGGGUGUAAAGGGAGCGUAGACGGACUUGCAAGUCUUAAGUGAAAGCCCGGGGCUCAACCCCGGGACUGCUUUGGAAACUGUAGGUCUAGAGUGCUGGAGAGGUAAGUGGAAUUCCUAGUGUAGCGGUGAAAUGCGUAGAUAUUAGGAGGAACACCAGUGGCGAAGGCGGCUUACUGGACAGUAACUGACGUUGAGGCUCGAAAGCGUGGGGAGCAAACAGGAUUAGAUACCCGGGUAGUC
RNAcentral lists this ribosomal RNA (440 nucleotides) under uncultured bacterium. RNAcentral describes it as "bacterial SSU rRNA". It matches the Rfam family "Bacterial small subunit ribosomal RNA", at positions 338 to 795 of the family's 1533-position model. The record is from RNAcentral.